This 280-nucleotide long non-coding RNA is filed under the name Mytilus galloprovincialis (Mediterranean mussel). The record is from RNAcentral. Lineage: Eukaryota; Metazoa; Mollusca; Bivalvia; Mytilida; Mytilidae.
AUUUGAUAUUAGGUUAGUAGGGAGGCGGGGCGUAUUUCAUACACGGUUAGCAGUGGUGUUACGUCCCUUUAUAUUCCAUAUUAGGUAAAAGGAAGGCGGGGCUUAUUUCAUACACGGUUAGUAGUGGUGUAACUUCCCUUUGUUGUAUGUCUUGCUAUUUAGAGUUGUCAUAUAAUAAUAAUAUCUUUAAGACCAUACUUGAAACUGUACAUGUGUGUAAUCCUGCUUGAUUGUUUUCUGUCUUUAUGUCAAAAAUAAACAAAUUACAAAAAAAAAAACU